This 30-nucleotide non-coding RNA is filed under the name Mus musculus (house mouse). Lineage: Eukaryota; Metazoa; Chordata; Mammalia; Rodentia; Muridae. The record is from RNAcentral.
UACAAAUGGUGGCGAUUUGUGCCGAUUGGC